Triticum aestivum (bread wheat) is the source of this 107-nucleotide non-coding RNA. Lineage: Eukaryota; Viridiplantae; Streptophyta; Magnoliopsida; Poales; Poaceae. The record is from Rfam.
UAUAUACUCCAUCCGUCCCAAAAUUCUUGUCUUAGAUUUGUCUAGAUACGCUACAUCCGUAUUUAGACAAAUCUAAGACAAGAAUUUUGGGACGGAGAGAGUAUUCA